RNAcentral lists this ribosomal RNA (876 nucleotides) under Lacticaseibacillus rhamnosus. RNAcentral's name for it is "bacterial SSU rRNA". It matches the Rfam family "Bacterial small subunit ribosomal RNA", at positions 483 to 1362 of the family's 1533-position model. Lineage: Bacteria; Bacillati; Bacillota; Bacilli; Lactobacillales; Lactobacillaceae. The record is from RNAcentral.
CAGAAAAGCCACGGCUAACUACGUGCCAGCAGCCGCGGUAAUACGUAGGUGGCAAGCGUUAUCCGGAUUUAUUGGGCGUAAAGCGAGCGCAGGCGGUUUUUUAAGUCUGAUGUGAAAGCCCUCGGCUUAACCGAGGAAGUGCAUCGGAAACUGGGAAACUUGAGUGCAGAAGAGGACAGUGGAACUCCAUGUGUAGCGGUGAAAUGCGUAGAUAUAUGGAAGAACACCAGUGGCGAAGGCGGCUGUCUGGUCUGUAACUGACGCUGAGGCUCGAAAGCAUGGGUAGCGAACAGGAUUAGAUACCCUGGUAGUCCAUGCCGUAAACGAUGAAUGCUAGGUGUUGGAGGGUUUCCGCCCUUCAGUGCCGCAGCUAACGCAUUAAGCAUUCCGCCUGGGGAGUACGACCGCAAGGUUGAAACUCAAAGGAAUUGACGGGGGCCCGCACAAGCGGUGGAGCAUGUGGUUUAAUUCGAAGCAACGCGAAGAACCUUACCAGGUCUUGACAUCUUUUGAUCACCUGAGAGAUCAGGUUUCCCCUUCGGGGGCAAAAUGACAGGUGGUGCAUGGUUGUCGUCAGCUCGUGUCGUGAGAUGUUGGGUUAAGUCCCGCAACGAGCGCAACCCUUAUGACUAGUUGCCAGCAUUUAGUUGGGCACUCUAGUAAGACUGCCGGUGACAAACCGGAGGAAGGUGGGGAUGACGUCAAAUCAUCAUGCCCCUUAUGACCUGGGCUACACACGUGCUACAAUGGAUGGUACAACGAGUUGCGAGACCGCGAGGUCAAGCUAAUCUCUUAAAGCCAUUCUCAGUUCGGACUGUAGGCUGCAACUCGCCUACACGAAGUCGGAAUCGCUAGUAAUCGCGUUCAGCCCGCCGA